RNAcentral lists this ribosomal RNA (427 nucleotides) under uncultured bacterium. RNAcentral describes it as "bacterial SSU rRNA". It matches the Rfam family "Bacterial small subunit ribosomal RNA", at positions 354 to 794 of the family's 1533-position model. The record is from RNAcentral.
UGGGGGAAUAUUGGGCAAUGGGCGCAAGCCUGACCCAGCAACGCCGCGUGAGGGAAGAAGGUUUUCGGAUUGUAAACCUCUGUCGCAGAAGACGAAGGAAGUGACGGUAAUCUGUGAGGAAGCCCCGGCUAACUACGUGCCAGCAGCCGCGGUAAUACGUAGGGGGCGAGCGUUGUCCGGAAUGACUGGGCGUAAAGGGUGUGUAGGUGGUUUGAUAAGUUAGAUGUGUAAUACCCAGGGCUUAACUCGGGUGCUGCAUCUAAAACUGUUAGACUUGAGUACUGGAGAGGAUAGUGGAAUUCCUAGUGUAGCGGUGGAAUGCGUAGAUAUUAGGAGGAACAUCAGUGGCGAAGGCGACUAUCUGGACAGCAACUGACACUGAGGCACGAAAGCGUGGGGAGCAAACAGGAUUAGAUACCCUGGUAGU